AGAGUUUGAUCCUGGCUCAGGACGAACGGCUGGCGGCGUGCCUAACACAUGCAAGUCGAACGGACUUUUCAUGAAGCCUAGCGAUUGAAAAGUUAGUGGCGGACGGGUGAGUAACGCGUGGGUAACCUGCCUUGUACUGGGGGACAACAGUUGGAAACGACUGCUAAUACCGCAUAAGCGCACAGCUUCGCAUGAAGCAGUGUGAAAAACUCCGGUGGUACAAGAUGGACCCGCGUCUGAUUAGCUGGUUGGUGAGGUAACGGCCCACCAAGGCGACGAUCAGUAGCCGGCCUGAGAGGGUGAACGGCCACAUUGGGACUGAGACACGGCCCAAACUCCUACGGGAGGCAGCAGUGGGGAAUAUUGCACAAUGGGGGAAACCCUGAUGCAGCAACGCCGCGUGAGUGAAGAAGUAUUUCGGUAUGUAAAGCUCUAUCAGCAGGAAAGAAAAUGACGGUACCUGACUAAGAAGCCCCGGCUAACUACGUGCCAGCAGCCGCGGUAAUACGUAGGGGGCAAGCGUUAUCCGGAUUUACUGGGUGUAAAGGGAGCGUAGACGGUUUUGCAAGUCUGAAGUGAAAGCCCGGGGCUUAACCCCGGGACUGCUUUGGAAACUGUAGAACUAGAGUGCAGGAGAGGUAAGUGGAAUUCCUAGUGUAGCGGUGAAAUGCGUAGAUAUUAGGAGGAACACCAGUGGCGAAGGCGGCCUGCUGGACGACAACUGACGCUGAGGCGCGAAAGCGUGGGGAGCAAACAGGAUUAGAUACCCUGGUAGUCCACGCUGUAAACGAUGAAUACUAGGUGUGGGGGGACUGACCCCUUCCGUGCCGCAGUUAACACAAUAAGUAUUCCACCUGGGGAGUACGAUCGCAAGAUUGAAACUCAAAGGAAUUGACGGGGGCCCGCACAAGCAGUGGAUUAUGUGGUUUAAUUCGACGCAACGCGAAGAACCUUACCGGGAUUUGACAUCCUACUAACGAGGUAGAGAUACAUUAGGUGCCCUUCGGGGAAAGUAGAGACAGGUGGUGCAUGGUUGUCGUCAGCUCGUGUCGUGAGAUGUUGGGUUAAGUCCCGCAACGAGCGCAACCCCUAUUGUUAGUUGCUACGAAAGAGCACUCUAGCGAGACUGCCGUUGACAAAACGGAGGAAGGUGGGGACGACGUCAAAUCAUCAUGCCCCUUAUGUCCCGGGCUACACACGUAAUACAAUGGCGAUCAACAGAGGGAAGCAAAGCCGCGAGGCAGAGCAAAACCCUAAAAGUCGUCUCAGUUCGGAUUGCAGGCUGAAACCCGCCUGCAUGAAGUUGGAAUUGCUAGUAAUCGCGGAUCAGCAUGCCGCGGUGAAUACGUUCCCGGGCCUUGCACUCACCGCCCGUCA
This 1377-nucleotide ribosomal RNA is filed under the name uncultured bacterium. RNAcentral describes it as "bacterial SSU rRNA". It matches the Rfam family "Bacterial small subunit ribosomal RNA". The record is from RNAcentral.